RNAcentral lists this ribosomal RNA (406 nucleotides) under Cronobacter sakazakii. RNAcentral describes it as "bacterial SSU rRNA". It matches the Rfam family "Bacterial small subunit ribosomal RNA", at positions 1128 to 1533 of the family's 1533-position model. Lineage: Bacteria; Pseudomonadati; Pseudomonadota; Gammaproteobacteria; Enterobacterales; Enterobacteriaceae. The record is from RNAcentral.
CGGCCGGGAACUCAAAGGAGACUGCCGGUGAUAAACCGGAGGAAGGUGGGGAUGACGUCAAGUCAUCAUGGCCCUUACGACCAGGGCUACACACGUGCUACAAUGGCGCAUACAAAGAGAAGCGACCUCGCGAGAGCAAGCGGACCUCAUAAAGUGCGUCGUAGUCCGGAUUGGAGUCUGCAACUCGACUCCAUGAAGUCGGAAUCGCUAGUAAUCGUGGAUCAGAAUGCCACGGUGAAUACGUUCCCGGGCCUUGUACACACCGCCCGUCACACCAUGGGAGUGGGUUGCAAAAGAAGUAGGUAGCUUAACCUUCGGGAGGGCGCUUACCACUUUGUGAUUCAUGACUGGGGUGAAGUCGUAACAAGGUAACCGUAGGGGAACCUGCGGUUGGAUCACCUCCUUA